Molecule: ribosomal RNA, 484 nt
Filed under: uncultured bacterium
Lineage: Bacteria
Description: bacterial SSU rRNA
Rfam family: Bacterial small subunit ribosomal RNA
Source: RNAcentral
GAUGAACGCUAGCGAUAGGCCUAACACAUGCAAGUCGAGGGGCAUCACAUGAAGUAGCAAUACGGAUGGUGGCGACCGGCGCACGGGUGAGUAACGCGUAGGCAACCUGCCCCAUACAGAGGGAUAGCCUCGGGAAACCGGGAUUAAAACCUCAUAACGCGAGGAGUUCACAUGGACUUCUCGCCAAAGAUUCAUCGGUAUGGGAUGGGCCUGCGUCUGAUUAGCUAGUUGGUGAGGUAACGGCUCACCAAGGCGACGAUCAGUAGCCGACCUGAGAGGGUAAUCGGCCACAUUGGAACUGAGACACGGUCCAAACUCCUACGGGAGGCAGCAGUGGGGAAUAUUGCACAAUGGGCGAAAGCCUGAUGCAGCAACGCCGCGUGAGCGAUGAAGGCCUUUGGGUCGUAAAGCUCUGUCCUUGGGGAGAAACAAAUGACGGUACCCUUGGAGGAAGCCCCGGCUAACUACGUGCCAGCAGCCGCGG